UACGUAGGGCGCAAGCGUUGUCCGGAAUUAUUGGGCGUAAAGAGCUCGUAGGCGGUUUGUCGCGUCUGCUGUGAAAACUCGAGGCUCAACCUCGGGCUUGCAGUGGGUACGGGCAGACUAGAGUGCGGUAGGGGUGACUGGAAUUCCAGGUGUAGCGGUGAAAUGCGUAGAUAUCUGGAGGAACACCGGUGGCGAAGGCGGCAUCCUGGACCGAUACUGACGCUGAGGAGCGAAAGCCAGGGGGAG
Molecule: ribosomal RNA, 246 nt
Filed under: uncultured bacterium
Lineage: Bacteria
Description: partial 16S ribosomal RNA
Rfam family: Bacterial small subunit ribosomal RNA
Source: RNAcentral